UUGGUGAGGGAUGAGUUGCACCCUCAGUCAGGGGGCUGGUUGCAGUGGCACAGGUGUCCCGUACCUCUCUGGGGACACACCAAUGUGCACAUGGGCCAUCUGACUCACC
Molecule: small nucleolar RNA, 109 nt
Organism: Coregonus clupeaformis (lake whitefish)
Lineage: Eukaryota; Metazoa; Chordata; Actinopteri; Salmoniformes; Salmonidae
Product: small nucleolar RNA SNORD67
Exons: 1
Source: RefSeq, a predicted model, not a curated record